UUAACGAGAGUUUGAUCCUGGCUCAGGACGAACGCUGGCGGCGUGCCUAAUACAUGCAAGUCGAACGAACGGAUAAGGAGCUUGCUCCUUUGAAGUUAGUGGCGGACGGGUGAGUAACACGUGGGUAACCUGCCUCACAGCUGGGGAUAACAUCGAGAAAUCGAUGCUAAUACCGAAUGUGCUGAAUAUCAUAAGAUGUUCAAGUGAAAGACGGUUUCGGCUGUCACUGUGAGAUGGACCCGCGCUGGAUUAGCUAGUUGGUAAGGUAAUGGCUUACCAAGGCAACGAUCCAUAGCCGACCUGAGAGGGUGAUCGGCCACAUUGGGACUGAGACACGGCCCAAACUCCUACGGGAGGCAGCAGUAGGGAAUCUUCGGCAAUGGACGAAAGUCUGACCGAGCAACGCCGCGUGAGCGAAGAAGGCCUUCGGGUCGUAAAGCUCUG
RNAcentral lists this ribosomal RNA (444 nucleotides) under Brochothrix campestris FSL F6-1037. Its description in RNAcentral is "bacterial SSU rRNA". It matches the Rfam family "Bacterial small subunit ribosomal RNA", at positions 1 to 435 of the family's 1533-position model. The record is from RNAcentral. Lineage: Bacteria; Bacillati; Bacillota; Bacilli; Caryophanales; Listeriaceae.